This 63-nucleotide transfer RNA is filed under the name Dichelyma capillaceum. Its description in RNAcentral is "transfer RNA-Leu". Lineage: Eukaryota; Viridiplantae; Streptophyta; Bryopsida; Hypnales; Fontinalaceae. The record is from RNAcentral.
AUACUUAUUUCGUUUGAUUCCGUCGGCUUUAUUGACCGUGAGGGUUCAAGUCCCUCUACCCCC